CCUACGGGAGGCAGCAGUGGGGAAUAUUGGACAAUGGGCGAAAGCCUGAUCCAGCCAUGCCGCGUGUGUGAAGAAGGCCUUCGGGUUGUAAAGCACUUUCAGUUGGGAAGAAAGCCUUGGGGCUAAUACCCUCGAGGAAGGACAUCACCCACAGAAGAAGCACCGGCUAACUCCGUGCCAGCAGCCGCGGUAAUACGGAGGGUGCGAGCGUUAAUCGGAAUUACUGGGCGUAAAGCGCGCGUAGGCGGUCUGAUAAGCCGGUUGUGAAAGCCCCGGGCUCAACCUGGGAACGGCAUCCGGAACUGUCAGGCUAGAGUGCAGGAGAGGAAGGUAGAAUUCCCGGUGUAGCGGUGAAAUGCGUAGAGAUCGGGAGGAAUACCAGUGGCGAAGGCGGCCUUCUGGACUGACACUGACGCUGAGGUGCGAAAGCGUGGGUAGCAAACAGGAUUAGAUACCCGGGUAGUC
This 465-nucleotide ribosomal RNA is filed under the name Vreelandella stevensii. Its description in RNAcentral is "partial 16S ribosomal RNA". It matches the Rfam family "Bacterial small subunit ribosomal RNA", at positions 338 to 795 of the family's 1533-position model. The record is from RNAcentral. Lineage: Bacteria; Pseudomonadati; Pseudomonadota; Gammaproteobacteria; Oceanospirillales; Halomonadaceae.